GCCUGGGUGGCUCAGUCGGUUAAGCGUCUGACUUCAGCUCAGGUCAUGAUCUCACAGUUCGUGAGUUCAAGCCCCACAUCGGGCU
RNAcentral lists this transfer RNA (85 nucleotides) under Felis catus (domestic cat). It matches the Rfam family "tRNA". Rfam says of the family: Transfer RNA (tRNA) molecules are approximately 80 nucleotides in length. Their secondary structure includes four short double-helical elements and three loops (D, anti-codon, and T loops). Lineage: Eukaryota; Metazoa; Chordata; Mammalia; Carnivora; Felidae. The record is from Rfam by way of RNAcentral.